This 254-nucleotide ribosomal RNA is filed under the name uncultured bacterium. Its description in RNAcentral is "partial 16S ribosomal RNA". It matches the Rfam family "Bacterial small subunit ribosomal RNA", at positions 524 to 776 of the family's 1533-position model. The record is from RNAcentral.
UACGGGGGGAGCAAGCGUUGUUCGGAUUUACUGGGCGUAAAGGGCGCGUAGGCGGCCAGCACAAGUCAGUUGUGAAAUCUCCGAGCUUAACUCGGAAAGGUCAACUGAUACUGUGCGGCUAGAGUGCGGAAGGGGCAACUGGAAUUCUUGGUGUAGCGGUGAAAUGCGUAGAUAUCAAGAGGAACACCUGCGGCGAAGGCGGGUUGCUGGGCCGACACUGACGCUGAGGCGCGAAAGCCAGGGGAGCGAGCGGG